Leguminivora glycinivorella is the source of this 294-nucleotide long non-coding RNA. RefSeq lists it as uncharacterized. The record is from RefSeq and is a predicted model, not a curated record. Lineage: Eukaryota; Metazoa; Arthropoda; Insecta; Lepidoptera; Tortricidae. The transcript has 3 exons.
AGAAAGAUUAAGUAGGUGCAGUGUCUUAAUAAAAAGAAGGAAAAGGAAACUGUAGCCUAAACUAUGGAUAGAUGAAUAUUAAACUAUACGUAUUCAAGAUAAACUUACAUAUAUACGUAAUAAAAAUAAACAUACAUAUAUAUUUACAUUGAUAUACCUAUACUAUACCUAGUGUGAAUCAUUAAGAUGACGAUGAAGAAACUUUGUCAAGGAAAUACUUGCGCAACAUGCGCUUGAAUGCGAAUUUGGUCUGUGCUUGUCUAAUUGAGAGAGGAAGAGAAUUUUGAACUUGAU